ACUUAGGAAUUGCAUUCGAUACUGGUCAGCUAGAGUAUGGGAGAGGAUGGUAGAAUUCCAGGUGUAGCGGUGAAAUGCGUAGAGAUCUGGAGGAAUACCGAUGGCGAAGGCAGCCAUCUGGCCUAAUACUGACGCUGAGGUACGAAAGCAUGGGGAGCAAACAGGAUUAGAUACCCUGGUAGUCCAUGCCGUAAACGAUGUCUACUAGCCGUUGGGGCCUUUGAGGCUUUAGUGGCGCAGCUAACGCGAUAAGUAGACCGCCUGGGGAGUACGGUCGCAAGACUAAAACUCAAAUGAAUUGACGGGGGCCCGCACAAGCGGUGGAGCAUGUGGUUUAAUUCGAUGCAACGCGAAGAACCUUACCUGGUCUUGACAUAGUAAGAACUUUCCAGAGAUGGAUUGGUGCCUUCGGGAA
Molecule: ribosomal RNA, 415 nt
Filed under: uncultured bacterium
Lineage: Bacteria
Description: bacterial SSU rRNA
Rfam family: Bacterial small subunit ribosomal RNA
Source: RNAcentral